GGCGGGACACGUGGUAUCCUGUCUGAAUAUGGGGGGACCAUCCUCCAAGGCUAAAUACUCCUGACUGACCGAUAGUGAACCAGUACCGUGAGGGAAAGGCGAAAAGAACCCCGGCGAGGGGAGUGAAAAAGAACCUGAAACCGUGUACGUACAAGCAGUGGGAGCCUCUUUAUGGGGUGACUGCGUACCUUUUGUAUAAUGGGUCAGCGACUUAUAUUCUGUAGCAAGGUUAACCGUAUAGGGGAGCCGAAGGGAAACCGAGUCUUAACUGGGCGUUAAGUUGCAGGGUAUAGACCCGAAACCCGGUGAUCUAGCCAUGGGCAGGUUGAAGGUUGGGUAACACUAACUGGAGGACCGAACCGACUAAUGUUGAAAAAUUAGCGGAUGACCUGUGGCUGGGGGUGAAAGGCCAAUCAAACCGGGAGAUAGCUGGUUCUCCCCGAAAGCUAUUUAGGUAGCGCCUCGUGAACUCAUCUUCGGGGGUAGAGCACUGUUUCGGCUAGGGGGCCAUCCCGGCUUACCAACCCGAUGCAAACUACGAAUACCGAAGAAUGUUAUCACGGGAGACACACGGCGGGUGCUAACGUCCGUCGUGAAGAGGGAAACAACCCAGACCGCCAGCUAAGGUCCCAAAGUCAUGGUUAAGUGGGAAACGAUGUGGGAAGGCACAGACAGCCAGGAUGUUGGCUUAGAAGCAGCCAUCAUUUAAAGAAAGCGUAAUAGCUCACUGGUCGAGUCGGCCUGCGCGGAAGAUGUAACGGGGCUAAACCAUGCACCG
This 778-nucleotide ribosomal RNA is filed under the name Enterobacter hormaechei. RNAcentral describes it as "partial 23S ribosomal RNA". It matches the Rfam family "Bacterial large subunit ribosomal RNA", at positions 416 to 1196 of the family's 2925-position model. The record is from RNAcentral. RNAcentral also lists the same sequence under 1 other name. Lineage: Bacteria; Pseudomonadati; Pseudomonadota; Gammaproteobacteria; Enterobacterales; Enterobacteriaceae.